Molecule: ribosomal RNA, 440 nt
Filed under: uncultured bacterium
Lineage: Bacteria
Description: partial 16S ribosomal RNA
Rfam family: Bacterial small subunit ribosomal RNA
Source: RNAcentral
CCUACGGGUGGCAGCAGUGGGGAAUAUUGGACAAUGGGGGAAACCCUUAUCCAGCGACGCCGCGUUAGGGAAGAAGGUUUUCUGAUUGUAAACCUCUGUCAGUGGGGACGAUAAUGACGGUACCCACUGAGGAAGCCACGGCUAACUCCGUGCCAGCAGCCGCGGUAAUACGUAGGGUGCAAACGUUGUCCGGAAUUACUGGUUGUAAAGGGAGCGUAGGCGGGAUGUCAAGUCAAAAGUGAAAGUCAUGGGCUCAACGUAUAAACUGCUUUUGAAACUGGUAAUCUGGAGUGAAGUAGAGGCUAGCGGAAUUCCUAGGGUAGCGGUGAAAUGCGUAGAUAUUAGGAGGAACAGCAGUGGCGAAGGCGACUUGCUGGGAUUUUACUGACGCUGAGGCUCGAAAGCGUGGGGAGCAAACAGGAUUAGAUACCCCAGUAGUC